CUUGGAACAAGAAGAUAGGUUUGAAGCUGGUUAACAUAUUUACCAGCAUUACCAGGUGUUUCUGGGCCUAUUUUCUGUGAGGCUGUAAGACACCAAGGAGAAAGGAGUUGACGACUGAAGACAAGGUUGUCAGUGAUUGCUGGGUUCCUGCAAGUGUAGAAUGCAAACAGAGAAGCCACAGCACAGAAGGAAGAGAAUUUCACAAGAUUAUGGACUUUCCUCACUAUAACUUUUUUGGAGUAAGGGGAUUUUCUCUUGUUAUGAUGGUUGCACAGUGAUGAAACUAUCAGAAAUCCAAUUCUCUGGAGGCUUUUCUAGACAGUGCUGUUAUAUGUGAAGUCAUCUGGCAUUCAGGUACAGUCUGGUUUUACUUCUUCAACGCCUUCAGAGACAAA
This 395-nucleotide long non-coding RNA is filed under the name Anser brachyrhynchus (Pink-footed goose). Its description in RNAcentral is "lncRNA (ENSABRG00000014624.1)". Lineage: Eukaryota; Metazoa; Chordata; Aves; Anseriformes; Anatidae. The record is from RNAcentral.